UACGGGGGGAGCAAGCGUUGUUCGGAUUUACUGGGCGUAAAGGGCGCGUAGGCGGCCACCGCAAGUCGGUUGUGAAAUCUCUGGGCUUAACCCAGAAAGGUCAACCGAUACUGCGGGGCUAGAGUGCAGAAGGGGCAACUGGAAUUCUCGGUGUAGCGGUGAAAUGCGUAGAUAUCGAGAGGAACACCUGCGGCGAAGGCGGGUUGCUGGGCUGAUACUGACGCUGAGGCGCGAAAGCCAGGGGAGCGAACGGG
Molecule: ribosomal RNA, 254 nt
Filed under: uncultured bacterium
Lineage: Bacteria
Description: partial 16S ribosomal RNA
Rfam family: Bacterial small subunit ribosomal RNA
Source: RNAcentral